GAGGAAAAGAAACCAACCGGGAUUGCCUCAGUAACGGCGAGUGAAGCGGCAAGAGCUCAAAUUUGAAAGCUGGCUCCUUCGGGGUCCGCAUUGUAAUUUGCAGAGGAUGCUUCGGGUGCGGCCCCUGUCUAAGUGCCCUGGAACGGGCCGUCAGAGAGGGUGAGAAUCCCGUCUGGGAUGGGGUGUCCGCGCCCGUGUGAAGCUCCUUCGACGAGUCGAGUUGUUUGGGAAUGCAGCUCUAAAUGGGUGGUAAAUUUCAUCUAAAGCUAAAUACUGGCCGGAGACCGAUAGCGCACAAGUAGAGUGAUCGAAAGAUGAAAAGCACUUUGAAAAGAGAGUUAAAAAGCACGUGAAAUUGUUGAAAGGGAAGCGCUUGCGACCAGACUCGCCUCCAGGGUUCAGCCGGCAUUCGUGCCGGUGUACUUCCCUGGGGGCGGGCCAGCGUCGGUUUGGGCGGCCGGUCAAAGGCUCCCGGAAUGUAGUGCCCUCCGGGGCACCUUAUAGCCGGGAGUGCAAUGCGGCCAGCCUGGACCGAGGAACGCGCUUCGGCACGGACGCUGGCAUAAUGGUCGUAAACGACCCGUC
RNAcentral lists this ribosomal RNA (585 nucleotides) under Aspergillus oryzae. RNAcentral's name for it is "LSU rRNA". It matches the Rfam family "Eukaryotic large subunit ribosomal RNA", at positions 53 to 653 of the family's 3401-position model. The record is from RNAcentral. Lineage: Eukaryota; Fungi; Ascomycota; Eurotiomycetes; Eurotiales; Aspergillaceae.